This 274-nucleotide long non-coding RNA is filed under the name Homo sapiens (human). Its description in RNAcentral is "non-protein coding lnc-LRRC28-7:1". The record is from RNAcentral. Lineage: Eukaryota; Metazoa; Chordata; Mammalia; Primates; Hominidae.
GGCGGGCCCGGGCUGCGGCGUGUGCGCGCCCGCCAGCUGCUCCGGAGAUACGAAUUGCAUUUUGUGAAAAAAGAACAAGAAUUUUCUGCAAGGAUCAUAUCUAAGUGCACUUUUUGCUGAUACUUCAUUUCUAUCUUGUAGAAAAUUUCAGCUGUAGCCCUUGGACUAGAAGCUGAAAUAACAGAAGCUGUGUACGAUGCAUUAGGGUAUUGAAGAAAAUUAACUUUUGAAUUAAAUAUUUGGAAUAUAAGGAAAUAAGGAAAGUUGACUGAAA